GUAAAGCCCUUUUGUUGGGAAAGAAAUCCAGCCGGCUAAUACCUGGUUGGGAUGACGGUACCCAAAGAAUAAGCACCGGCUAACUUCGUGCCAGCAGCCGCGGUAAUACGAAGGGUGCAAGCGUUACUCGGAAUUACUGGGCGUAAAGCGUGCGUAGGUGGUUAUUUAAGUCCGUUGUGAAAGCCCUGAGCUCAACCUGGGAACUGCAGUGGAUACUGGAUGACUAGAAUGUGGUAGAGGGUAGCGGAAUUCCUGGUGUAGCAGUGAAAUGCGUAGAGAUCAGGAGGAACAUCCAUGGCGAAGGCAGCUACCUGGACCAACAUUGACACUGAGGCACGAAAGCGUGGGGAGCAAACAGGAUUAGAUACCCUGGUAGUCCACGCCCUAAACGAUGCGAACUGGAUGUUGGGUGCAAUUUGGCACGCAGUAUCGAAGCUAACGCGUUAAGUUCGCCGCCUGGGGAGUACGGUCGCAAGACUGAAACUCAAAGGAAUUGACGG
RNAcentral lists this ribosomal RNA (500 nucleotides) under uncultured bacterium. RNAcentral's name for it is "bacterial SSU rRNA". It matches the Rfam family "Bacterial small subunit ribosomal RNA", at positions 425 to 916 of the family's 1533-position model. The record is from RNAcentral.